GGGGCGGGACUCAAGCGCCACCCAUUUUUUCCUCCAAAAAUAUAAUAUAAUAUAUAAUUAAUAAUUAUAAAGAAAUAUAAAAAUAAGCAAAAAAAACGUUCCUCCAUUCAUCAUUUUAGUGACUAGGGUUUACUCCCCAUAUCUCAAUCUCACAAAAUCCCUAAUUCCUCAUCAUUUUGACAACCUGUUCAUUGAAAUUUGUGCUUGAUUUCUUCAUUCAAACUGGCAAUUUGUGUCUUCAACUGUUCUUCACGACCUUUUAGGGGUUUACGACUAUUCGGUUUUGGUGUGUUGUUUCGGGUAUAUUUUGUAUUUUUGUUCUGUGACAUGUCGUACUGUGCGAUUGAGUUGGGGUUAUCAUCGGAGGAGAGUCAGCUCGCCAGGAGGUCAUUAUCAGCGGGAGAAAAGAUUCUCUGUGGCCAUUGUUGGUCAUAUCAUCCGUGCUUCCUCAUAUUUCCUGGCUGCCAGGCUUUCAAGAUUUGUAACCCACUGUAUGAUGGUGAUAAUAGCUUUUGUGCACAUCCACGCAAGCUUUAUGAGUUGUUGCUGUGGAGGAAGAUCAAGAUCACCCCCUUCUAGUCGAAUCCCGCUUUUCACUUCCUUUAUUUUGAGGUAGACAGGGAGGCGAGCUUGAGCCAGACUCAUAGAAGCUGUUGGCCGAUUGAAAGCACUCAUUUGUUUCGGAGGUGCUUGAUCAUUCUUUUGUGUAUAUGUUAGGCUCGACGGGGGUCCCGUCCCGUCUAUGCGUUUUGUACUUCAGUAGAGGCUCGUAGAUACACAGUGUGGGUUAUGUGGUCUGACAGGGUCACUAUGGCAUAAUUGUAUAUAUUAUUUUGAUAGCCUAAAGGGCUUAUAUAUAUGGAACUAUUUAUGUUUACAAAUGAAACAUGACUUUCUUAUGAUUUGAGUAUAAAAAUCAAUAAAAGAGUAGUUAAUGAGCAUGAUGAGUAGCAGAAUGAGUGGUGCUCGGUUGUUAGCCCCGGGUACCCGUCGCAGCCCCUAGCUGGGUCGUGACAAAAGUGGUAUCAGAGCCAGGUUCAGUCCUAGGAAGUGUCUACGAGCCGUGUUUAGUAGAGUCUUGUUUAUGAUGUGUUGCGCGCCAGAUCAAUAAACAAGAGGCUACAUGGCAUUUAGAAAACUUGACCAUCUUUCUUCUCAUGGAAUCGUCCGAUAGAGCCAUGUAUAAGAUUUUAUCUUCCCUAAUAGUGUGUUAUGAUUUCAGAAUGCCACCAAAGGGAAAGGCGACAGCCGCCCAGAAGGGCAAGACUACGACAAAGAGGCGAGUAGAAAGAGAGCCUCCGAUGAAUAUAGAAGAAGGCGAAUCACAUAAUGAGGCCUUGUCUAAUACUUCUUCUACCCCGCCUAAUGUGGAAGAGCCAGGAGGAGGCCCAGCUCCAAUCCGUCUACUGGUUGCUACGGGUCAACAAAUGACCGAGGCCAUACAUCUAUUGACACAAUUGGUUACCGCACAGGCACAACGACAAAAUGUGAGUUCAAGUGAUCGGGCAUCAAGUACCAAAGCCCGUGAUUUCAUGAGUCUAAAUCCUCCGGAGUUCUUCGGGUCAAAACCGGAUGAAGACCAGCCAAGUUUCAUAGAUGAGAUGUUGAGGACAUUGAAGAUUUUCCAUGCCUCCGAAACUGAAUCCGUGGAGUUGGCAUCUUAUAGACUCUGGGAUGUGGCAAUUUUAUGGUAUAACAACUGGGUAUUAUCAAGGGGAGAGAAUGAGCCUCCUCCGAUUUGGCAAGAAUUCGUGGAUGCAUUUAUUCGUCACUAUUUGCCACCCGAGGUCCGCCGAGCUAGAGCGGAUAGAUUUCUACAUCUGAGGCAAGGAAAUAUGAGUGCCCGGGAGUAUAGCAUGCAAUUUAAUUCCUUCGUAAGAUAUGCCCCGACUAUGGUGGUCCACAUGGGAGAUCGUGUACAUAGAUUUGUGAGUGGCUUGGGGCAUAUUUGUUCAAGGACUUCUUGACGGCCUCUUUGCAAGAAGGGAUGGAUAUUUCCCGAAUACAAGCCCAUGCCCAGAACUUAGAGGGAUGACAACAACCACAAAGGGGUGAUCACGACAGUGAUAGAAGACAAAACAAGAGGGCUAGAUCUAUGGGCACAGGCAGUGAUUAUAGAGGGGGAUCCAGGCAGACCUAUACCCGACAUUCAGGUCAGUCAAUGACUAGUGCGCCUUCACGAUUCGCGGAUAGGGGAUUUGAUCGCUCUUUUCCUUCAGGACAGGGUCAGAGUUCGAGAGCUUCAGGUUCGAGAUUUGGGGGUGAUUACAGUCAGAGGAGACCACCAGUUCCACGAUGUAGCCGGUGCCAGAAACUACACUCAGGGCCAUGUCGCCCACAGGCUCAACAGCUGGUUCUUCAUCAGUACGCCCGGUAGGAUAGACUUCCCAGAUGUCAGCAGGCCGAGGUAGAGGCAGAGGGGUAGCAUCUACUUCAGGUGUCAUUCAGCCCCGUGUAUAUGCUUUAGCCGGACGACAGGAUCUAGAGUCCUCUCCGAAUGUGGUUACAGGUAUAUUGUCUAUAUUUUCCGGUGAUGUGUAUGCAUUGAUAGAUCCGGGUUCUACAUUCUCUUAUAUUACUCCAUAUGUUGCUGGUUGUAUUGGGGUGAAACCUGAGCUAAUCAAACCUUUUAAGGUGUCUACUCCGGUUGGUGAUCCCGUGAUAGCAAGACAAGUGUACAAAAAUUGUGUAGUUGUGAUAUGUGAUGACCAGACCACGGUUGAUUUUAUUGAGUUGAAAAUGUUAUAUUUCGAUGUAAUUAUGGGCAUGGAUUGGUUGGCAUAGUGUUAUGCUAAUGUUGAUUGCCGAUUGAAAGUGGUUCGAUUCCAAUUUCCGGGAGAGCCCGUGCUUGAAUGGAAGGGUAAUACAGCAUCUCCGAAGGGUAGGUUUAUUUUCUACCUUAAGGCAAGAAAGAUGAUAGCCAAGGGCUAUACUUAUCAUCUAGCUCGGGUUCAUGAUACCGAGGCAAAGUCGCCAACUUUCGAAUCCGUUCCGGUAGUGAAUGAAUUCCCAGAUGUAUUUCCUGAUGAGCUUCCAGGUCUUCAUCCAGAAAGAGAGAUUAACUUCGCCAUUGAUGUGUUUCCAGACACCAAGCCUAUUUCUAUUCCUCCGUAUCGAAUGGCCCCGACAAAUUUGAAGGAGUUAAAGGCACAGUUGAGAGAUUUGCUCGAAAAGGGGUUUAUGAGACCCAGUUCAUCACCGUGGGGAGCACCGGUCUUGUUCGUGAGGAAGAAAGACGGAUCUCUAUGAAUGUGUAUCGACUACAGGCAAUUGAACAAGGUGACGAUAAAGAACAAAUAUCCUCUUCCAAGGAUUGAUGACUUAUUCGAUCAAUUGCAAGGUGCCAAGCGGUUUUCUAAAAUAGAUUUAAGGUCGGGUUACCAUCAAGUGAGGGUUAGAAAAGUGGAUAUUCCCAAAACAGCCUUCAGAACGAGAUAUGGCCACUAUGAAUUCCGGGUGAUGUCAUUUGGAUUGACUAAUGCUCCGACCGUGUUUAUGAACUUGAUGAACAAUGUAUUCAGGCCUCUCUUGGACUUAUUUGUGAUAGUAUUUAUUGAUGAUAUUCUGGUGUAUUCUCGCACAGAAUCAGAACAUGCAGAUCAUUUGCAAAUUGUUCUUGGCAUUCUUCGAGCCCGAGAAUUGUAUGCAAAAUUUUCAAAGUGCGAGUUCUAGCUAAAUUCUAUGACAUUUCUAGGCCAUGUUAUUUCAGAUGAUGGCAUUCGAGUCGACACUCAGAAAAUUGAAGCUGUGAAGACUUGGGCAAGCCCUACGACGCCUACAGAAGUGUGUAGUUUUCUGGGGUUGGCAGGUUAUUAUAGAAGAUUCGUAGAGGGCUUCUCAUCUAUUUCAGCCCCAUCGACGAAGCUAACCCAGAAGUCAGCUAAAUUUCAGUGGGAUGAUGCUUGUGAACGAAAAUUCCCAGAGUUGAAGGGGCAGAUUGACCUCAGCUCCGAUUUUAACACUUCCAGAAGGGUCGGAUGGCUAUGUGGUAUAUUGUGACGCUUCCGGUGUCAGAUUAGGAUGCGUAUUGAUGCAACAUGGUAAAGUUAUUGCAUAUGCUUCGAGACAAUUACGGAAACAUGAAAAUAAUCAUCCAACUCAUGACCUCGAAUUGGCUGCGGUUAUUCAUGCCUUAAAAAUAUGGAGGCAUUAUUUGUAUGGUGUGCAUAUGGAUAUCUAUACAGAUCACAAAAGUCUUCAAUAUAUUUUCAAACAGAAAGAGUUGAACCUACGGCAGAGGCGGUGGUUAGAAUUGUUAAAAGAUUAUGAUGUGAACAUUUUGUACCACCACGGAAAAGCGAAUGAAGUAGCCGAUGCGCUUAGCCGCCGAUCAAUGGGUAGUUUAUGUGAAGUCCCUCCAGAAAAGAAAAAGAUGGUUCAUGAGCUCCACCAAUUAGCUAAUCUGGGAGUACGUGUAAUUGAUUCAGGUAAUGCAGGGAUUAGCAUCAAUGACCCCUCAACUUCGUCCUUGGAUAUGGAAGUGAAAGAACGGCAAUAUGAAGAUCCUCAAUUGUGUCGUUACAGGGACACAUCUCAUGGAAAAGAGAAGUCUUCAUUUGAAGUUUCUAUGGACAAAAUUCUUAGGUACCGAGGCAGAUUAUGUGUGCCGAAUGUAGCAGAAUUGCGCCGACGAAUUCUAGAAGAAGCACAUUGUUCUCUGUAUUCUAUUCAUCCAGGUGCAACCAAAAUGUAUCGUGAUCUCAAGAUGAUGUAUUGGUGGGGUGGCAUGAAGAGAGACAUAGCCGAAUUUGUAGCACAAUGUCCAAAUUGCCAACAAGUAAAGAUCGAACAUCAAAAGCCAGGAGGCUUAUUACAAGCAAUGGAAAUCCCUAUUUGGAAAUGGGAAGUGAUUAACAUGGAUUUUAUUGUGGGAUUACCUCAUUCUUGAGGCAAGUAUGAUUCGAUAUGGGUGAUUGUGGACAGACUCACAAAAGCGGCCCAUUUUCUUCCAGUUAGAACUACCUACUCAGCAGAAGAUUAUGCGAGGUUAUAUCUCAAAGAAAUUGUGUGACUUCAUGUUAUUCCAUUAUCUAUUAUUACAGAUAGAGGAGCACAGUUUACAACCAAGUUCUGGAAGACUUUUCAAGAAGGUCUAGGCACUCAAGUGAAACUUAGUACGACAUUUCAUCCACAGACUGAUGGACAAGCCGAACGUGCUAUUCAGACCUUGGAGGAUAUGCUACAAGCAUGUGUGCUGGAUUUCGGUGGUAGUUGGGACGAUCAUUUACCGCUAAUCAAAUUUGCAUACAAUAAUAGUUACCAUUCCAGCAUUCAAAUGGCCCCAUAUGAAGCUUUAUAUUGAAGGAAAUAUAGAUCCCCAAUCGGAUGGUUUGAAAUAGAAGAAGCACAACUAGUAGGCCCUAAAUUGAUUCAGCAAGCGGUGGAAAAAGUUAAGGUGAUCCGAGAUCGAUUGUUAACCGCCCAAAGUUGCCAAAAGUCUUAUGCAGACAAUCGCCGAUGAGACUUGGAAUUUCAAGCUGGUAAUUGGGUAUUUUUGAAAGUAUCGCCAAUGAAAGAGGUGAUGAGAUUUGAUAAGAAAGGGAAGCUAAGCCCUAGAUACAUUGAACCCUACAGAAUUAUCCGCAAGGUGGGUCUUGUAGCCUAUGAAUUGGAUUUUCCUUCGGAGCUUGAAUCAGUCCAUCCAGUCUUCCACGUUUCGAUGCUCCGCAAGUGUAUUGGAGAUCCUACAAAGAUUGUCCCAAUAGAUGAUGUGCAAGUGACAGAAAAGCUAACCUAUGAAGAGGUUCCUAUUGCUAUUUAAGACAGGCAAGUGCGAAGACUCUGAAAUAAAGAGGUAGCUUCAGUUAAAGUCUUGUGGCGAAAUAAUAACCGAGAAGAAAUGACUUGGGAAACGGAAGAAAGUAUGAAGUCCGAGUACCCGCAUUUAUUUCAACCCCCAGAAGAGACUCAAGAUGGAACGCCAACAAUAUGAGGUAAGUAUGCAAUAAAUGAAGUGUAAUAAUUAGAGUAUCUGAACACCCCUAUUUCCAUCAUUACUCAGAUAUUAUAUCCCCUAUUUUCGGGAGCUUUCGUAAGUCUUUCUUAGAAUUUAUUUUGUGUUGUGGCCCUGUGAGGCAAUGAUAUUAUGGGUUGUUGUGGCAGGAUAGUAGUGCCAUAUUACAGGGGAAACUCUAGCGAAAUUUUCACAGAAUCCCGAGUGUUUAACAUUCGAGGACGAAUGUUCCAAAAGGGGGGAAGAAUGUUACACCUCGUAAAUUUCCCCGUGAAUGUACAACGAAUUGACUAACGAAGAAUAUGAGUAUAUGGUGUUUCAAUCAGAAGGGAAUUACGUUUGACGACCCUAAGUAAGAUUUCAAAGGCAAUGGGAAAAAGAGAUAGGUUAUGCUCCACAAUGACUAAUUAUAGGUUUUGAAGACUUGAAAGUCGCAGAUUUGCAUUUUGGCCCAGUCGACCGUAAAGUGAAAUACGGACCGUAAAGUGGUAUAUGGCCCGUAAACCACCAUGACGUAUUUCAACUCGCAAAACUUCAACUUUCUGUCAAAUGUUUAAAUGGUUAAAUACGACUUGGAAUACGGACCGUAAAUUGAAAUACGGGCCCGUAAACUGCGACCGUAAAUCACCAUGAUCCUCAGCAUACCUUUCUGGUUUUGAUAUGCUUAAAUACGACUGCGAUAUACGUCCCGUAAACUGGAAUAUGGACCGUAAACUGGGUUUACGACCACUGUGCACUUCAACUACUGUUCAUUCCGGAUCAGAUUUUAAGUCAUUAAAAGGAGACCCAAGCUCAUUAAGUUCAUUUCAUCUUCACGACCUUUCUCUCUAGAAACAUCUAGAAUACUCUCUAAUACUCCUCCACAAGAGAAUCAAAGGAAAACCAAGAUCAACAACACCAAAUCAUGAAACAAAGUGUAUGAAACUCAAGUGAAAGCUCAUCCAGAUCAAGAAAACCCAAGGGAGGUGAAGCAGGGUUUUGGGUGCUAGAGGAGAAACUCCACUCAAGACUUGUUCAACCAUCAUCUAAGGUAAGUUUCAUGACUAAACCAUGUUGUUUAAGGUAAUGGAAGAUUAAGAUACUUGAAUUGUAGAAAGACAUAAGAAAUGGGUCAUUAAUGAGUGAAUAGUGCCAUGUUUGGAUGGUAGUUAGAUUGAAUCAUAAAUGUUGGGGUGUUGUGAGAAUGAACACGUCAUAAAUGAAAUUUAGGCCAUGAAAUAAGUAUUAUAUACGAGGAAACGCGAUAGUAAGCUAUAACCAUAAAUGUGGAGAAAUUGAAGAGAAAUAGUGGAUUAUGGUGAAUGUAUAUGAAUGAUGAUUGUUGAUUGCAAUAUUGUGAAUGUUGUUGUGAGCAUUUGAGAGUUGAUAUAGACUAUGGGAAAAGCAGUAUAAACAAAGGAAGUGCUGCCCAAUUUUCCCUAGAUUUAGAAAGGUCGUUCUUACAAUUGCUUAGCUAAUGACGAUAUAAAUUCUCUUGAAGGUAGAACUUGUGCAUUAAAGGAGAACACGCAGGCGAUAGAUUAGCUAAAAGUCAAAGGUAUGUAAGGCUUAUCCCUUCCUUCAAAGGCAUGAAUCUUCCAAGUUUUUCCAUGAUCCUCCUAUAUGAUGGAGCUUAUAAGUCCGUAAAUAUACUAAACUACAUACGAGCAUGAUAGUUAUGAUGAUGAGUUAAAGUAUAGCGAUUCGAGAGUUCAUGAUAUUAUUGCUCACACUCACCUUAUGUAUUUUUCCUUCAAGGUGAGGCAGGCUACUCGUAAAUGUUCAUAAUAUAAUCGGGGGCUUACGACCUUACCUCACCCCGACAUAGCCAUGGUUGUCUUCAAAGUCUAAUGUAUACUCCUAAUGCUAAAUGUGAAUUGAUAUAAAGUCAUGGUAUGUUUAUAAGAUGAUCAAUAAUGCUAACUUAUAAUAUUCCUAUGUUGUGUAUUAAUAUGCCAAGCUAUGAUAAGAUUAUGAUACGUUCAUGAGAUGUGUAAUAGUGAUGGGUAAUGAUUGAUUUUGUGAUGAUGAGAUUCCACCGCGCCUAGAUGCCCGGGCAUGUUUGUCACGACCCAACUAGGGGCCGCGACGGGUACCCGGAGCUAGAUACCGAGCACCGCUCACUCUACUACUCAUUUUACUCAUUUAGUGAUCUUUUGCCAGUUUUACGCAUGAAAGUAUAGGAAACAUAAUUUGUAUCAAAACAUAAGUACUUUAUAUACAUAUGCCUCUCGUCCAUCAACAUAAUAUAUACAUAAUAAUAGAAUAUUUUGAGACCACCUGAUCCACACUACGUAUCUACGAGCCUCUACUAUCAUAAUGAAUACAUAGACGGAACAAGACUCUGUCGUGCCCAAAAUAUAUAUACAUAUAUACCAAAGAGAAAUCAUAAGCACCUCCGAACAAUGGAGUGCUCCCAACAGCUGACAGCUCCUAAGUAUUUGGAUCAAGCUCGCCUCCCUGUCUACCUGUGGGCAUGAACACAACGUCCAAAGAAGGGACGUCAGUAUGAGUAUUGUACUGAGUAUGAGAGGCAUGAACAAUGAAGAAAGGCAUCAAUAAUAUAAUGAGAGCAUCAAUAUAAAGCAUAUGGAUCUGACCGAUAAUCAUAAAUGAAAUAAUGCAUGUUGUCUUACUCAUACUUAUCAUCGUAACAUGUAUGCAUCAUAUGCAAGCUGCCCGCCCAUGUCGGAACGGUGUGAUAAUCAAUAAUAUAAGCCCUUGUCCAGGCCUCCCGC
Molecule: RNA transcript, 8670 nt
Organism: Lycium barbarum (goji berry)
Lineage: Eukaryota; Viridiplantae; Streptophyta; Magnoliopsida; Solanales; Solanaceae
Exons: 3
Source: RefSeq, a predicted model, not a curated record